UACGUAGGGGGCAAGCGUUGUCCGGAAUCAUUGGGCGUAAAGAGCGUGUAGGCGGCUUGGUAAGUCCGCUGUGAAAGUCCAGGGCUCAACUCUGGAAUGCCGGUGGAAACUGUCAAGCUUGAGUCCGGAAGAGGCGAGUGGAAUUCCUGGUGUAGCGGUGAAAUGCGCAGAUAUCAGGAGGAACACCAAUGGCGAAGGCAGCUCGCUGGGACGGUACUGACGCUGAGACGCGAAAGCGUGGGGAGCAAACAGG
This 253-nucleotide ribosomal RNA is filed under the name uncultured bacterium. Its description in RNAcentral is "partial 16S ribosomal RNA". It matches the Rfam family "Bacterial small subunit ribosomal RNA", at positions 524 to 776 of the family's 1533-position model. The record is from RNAcentral.